UGAUCUUUGGAUAGAGAAACACAAAGAAAUUCAAGACUCAAAAACCAAACUUAUAGUUCAGAAACCUGAGCUGCUGAUAAUGAGGGUGGUUAACAUAGAACGGAAAUCUGGAGAUGGAUCCUUUAGAAGAGUUGACUAUGGUAUAUCUGGAGAAGAGAGCCUCCUGUUGUGAUCGAUUACCUCUGCUGGGACACUCCUUAAGACUGGAAGCAAAUAACUCAAAAUAGCUUCAAGAAGUCCCUGAAACUGACCACCAGGGCUCUUUCUCCCAAGUGUGUAUAAGCAAUAAAGCCUGCUGAGAGACAUUCUCAGAGCAGUUGAGCUACAAAACAGACUCUCAGACCUAUGGAGCUGCUUGGAAGAUGCCCAGGCCUAGCAUCCUGGAAGAGAUAGGCCAAUAACCCGGAAGAAGCAGAGAUCAGGAGAACUAUGUCAAAGAAGAAAGGAAACACUGGGAAAGGAAACUCUGACUUGUUGAGCUACCUGUAGACUGCUCUUUGUGGUCCAGGUUUCUGGCUUUUAUGAACUGUCAUCCAUGCUAGGGUGGGCUUUGAUGAUAUAACUGUUUGGAGGUGAUUUCUGCUUCUGUAAGUGACCCCUCUCACCCAUAUUCCCAUAAGUCACUUUCCUAGUAAACUUUGUGAUACUCCCUAAACCAGCACCUGGCCCUCACCAAGUCCUCCCCCCAACCCCCCAUUCCUCUUGUCUUUCUUCUUUGACAUUACUGAGUUUCCUCUCUCUCCACAUCCUCUACAGAAGUACCGGGAAGCUCAGGCUUCCUCUUUGCUAUGCAUAUCCAUCCUGGGGUGAUAAGUCCUGCUCUGUCUUCCCUGACAAAUGGCUCUAGGCAGAGUAAUAUAUUUCUGGGAAACGUUAUUCGGUGCCUUACCUCUUUCCAACAUUUUUAGCCCUUGACUUAGAAUGAAGAAUGACCAUGUACAUUGAGCUGCUGUUGGCUUUCCAACUGACAGAAGAAAUACGCUGGGGGAAUCUCCUAUUGUCUGGGAUGUUAAAAGAGGUUAGCAGAGGUGAUUUCUACUGGGAAUCUGCUUCCAUUUCCACAGAUAUACCUCGUCUUUGGAGAGCGCUGUGAAGUUGGGGGAAAACCUCUCCAGAUCCUGAAUCAGAGAAGCCACUAGUAAAGAACCUUCUCAUAUAUCCCUCUUCUCAUUCUGCAGGUGAAAAAUACAAAGCCCAGCAGAAGGCGCUCCGGCAAUACAAGCCCUGCAUUUGUCUCCUGCCAGUGCCUCAGUCAGGAAGGGAAGGACAGCUUUUCUAGAGGACAGGAAAGAAGGGCUGGGGGCCCUGUGAACCAGAGGUGAAGCUUGAGGAUGGAUCCAAGGAUUCUUUCUCUGGUCACCUUCCCCAGCAGCAAGUGACUGCACACAGCCUUGGAAGCCACGAUUUGUCCCCGUCGCUCUGACCAGCCAGUAAGCACUGGGAGCACCACCAAGGUACAGAGGUGUCCGGAAGGGCCUACCUUCUGAGCAGGCCUCGCCUCCUUUGCCCAGGUUGCAAUGGCAUCGUGAGCCUCCCCAGGCGUAGUCAUUGACACAGAAGCUGUCAGCUGAACAGAGGGUUUCGUCACAGGACAUGUCAAAGAGCCUUGACAUCACGGCCACACUGUUCUUCCCCUUCCGUUGGGCUGGCGUGGGUGGCACAGCCACUGUAGUUUCAGGGAGAGAUGCUGAGACAUUGAGAUCUACUUUACUAAGGAGUGAACUGAGGCUUGGAGAGCCCGUGGAAGGUUCCAGAAGAGGGAAGUCAUCGUACAGAGCUCAUGACACUGCACAGCAGCCUCUCAGCAGCAUUCCAAACUUCCAGUCUUUGACAGUGAUGCAGAUUAUGCAGAUUUCAUGCUCACCGAGAAGGAAAUAAAUACAGAUAAAACCAGGCCCUGUGUGACUGCAGGAGGCCUGGGACGUGAAAGCCAUCGUUCUUUUGAAUUGUCUCCUCCUUCUCACACCCAUGAAGCUUCCACCAAUUUUGUAGGCCGUGCAUUCUAUGCUACUGAUAAGAAUUCUCUAAGUGCCCUGGGGUUGUUGUAAUUAAAGUACAUAACUUAUCUCUUUCUACUUGGCACUUUGUUAAUUAAGAAAAGAGAACAUUAAAAACCAGACACUUAUUAGAAUCAUAAUAGUCAAACCACAUACUGAAUGCAAAACAAAUUCUGGGAUAUUCCACAUUAAGGAAAAAAAAAUACAAAUCUUGUUGGUCAACAAAAGGAUGCCCUUUAUUUUAUAAAGUUCAUAUAUGUCUGAGUUUUUAAAGACAUUAUGGUUUUCCUGCACAUUGUUUCUCUGAUGAGCAAUAUGAUAUAGUUGGAAAUAUCUGUGGUCAUGUGAGCUGGACAUAAUACUUCCAUUGUUAGGAAAGUCAUUUAAUCUUGUAAGAGCCCAUGAGUCUCAACAAAAUAAGGAAUGAGGGUUGGGGAGAUACUUAAAUCAAGAAAGUGCUUACCACAUGAACAUGAGGACCUGAGUUUAAUUUCCAAAAUCCAUAGAAGAAAAAGUUAGAAAUGGUGGUGACCACUUGUAAUUUGGGUACUGGGAAGGCAGAGAUUGUCAGAUCUUUGAGGCUCAUUGGACAGUCAACUAAGGUGACUUGGUGAGAUCCAGGUUCCAGAGAGAGAUUGUCUCAAUGAAUAAACUGGACAGUGUAUAUAAAA
Rattus norvegicus (Norway rat) is the source of this 2668-nucleotide non-coding RNA. NCBI's taxonomy places the organism in Eukaryota, Metazoa, Chordata, Mammalia, Rodentia, Muridae. The record is from RefSeq and is a predicted model, not a curated record.